Molecule: ribosomal RNA, 535 nt
Filed under: uncultured bacterium
Lineage: Bacteria
Description: partial 16S ribosomal RNA
Rfam family: Bacterial small subunit ribosomal RNA
Source: RNAcentral
ACUCAAAUGAAUUGACGGGGACUUGCACAAGCGGUGGAUGAUGUGGUUUAAUUCGAUGGUACACGAAGAACCUUACCAGGACUAGAAAUCCUAUUGAAAGGCUUAGGAAACUUUGCAACUCCGCAAGGACAAUAGGACAGGUGAUGCAUGGCCGUCGUCAGUUCGUGGUUUGAACUGUUCCCUUAAGUGGGGUAACGAACGCAACCCUUGUUGUCUGUUAUAAGUGUCAGGCAAGACUGCCCAGCCCAAAGAUCGGGAUUUUCAUUUUUUUAAAAUGAUGAAUCGCGCUUUGUGGGCUGGGAGGAAGGCGGGGAUGACGCCAGGUCAGCAUGUCCCUCUGACGUCCUGGGCUACACACAUCAUACAAUGGCCACUACAGCGGGUCGCGACGGAGCAAUCCAGAGCUAAUCCUUCAAAAGUGGCCUCAGUUCAGAUUGGGGGCUGCAACUCGCCCCCAUGAAGUUGGAAUCGCUAGUAAUCGCGGGUCAGCUAUACCGCGGUGAAUACGUUCUCAAGUCUUGUACACACCGCCCGU